RNAcentral lists this ribosomal RNA (519 nucleotides) under uncultured bacterium. RNAcentral describes it as "bacterial SSU rRNA". It matches the Rfam family "Bacterial small subunit ribosomal RNA", at positions 491 to 1004 of the family's 1533-position model. The record is from RNAcentral.
GGACGGCUAACUCUGUGCCAGCAGCCGCGGUAAUACAGAGGUCCCAAGCGUUGUUCGUGAUUUACUGGGCGUAAAGGGUGCGUAGGCGGUGGGGAAAGUUCGGGGUGAAAUCUCCAGGCUCAACUUGGAAAUUGCCUUGAAUACUUCCCUGCUCGAGGGUCGCAGAGGAGACUGGAAUUCUCGGUGUAGCAGUGAAAUGCGUAGAUAUCGAGAGGAACACCAGUGGCGAAAGCGGGUCUCUGGGCGACACCUGACGCUGAGGCACGAAAGCCAGGGGAGCAAACGGGAUUAGAUACCCCGGUAGUCCUGGCCCUAAACGGUGCGCACUUGCUGUGAGCGGCUUCAAAACCCGCUCGUGGCGGAGUUAACACGUUAAGUGCGCCGCCUGAGGAGUACGGUCGCAAGAUUAAAACUCAAAGAAAUUGACGGGGGCCUGCACAAGCGGUGGAGUAUGUGGCUUAAUUCGAUGCAACGCGAAGAACCUUACCUGGUCUUGACAUGCAAGUAGUAGAAGCCUGA